Molecule: ribosomal RNA, 424 nt
Filed under: uncultured bacterium
Lineage: Bacteria
Description: bacterial SSU rRNA
Rfam family: Bacterial small subunit ribosomal RNA
Source: RNAcentral
AGGGAAUCUUCCGCAAUGGACGAAAGUCUGACGGAGCAACGCCGCGUGAGUGAAGAAGGUUUUCGGAUCGUAAAGCUCUGUUGCCAGGGAAGAACGUCUGCUAGAGUAACUGCUAGCGGAGUGACGGUACCUGAGAAGAAAGCCCCGGCUAACUACGUGCCAGCAGCCGCGGUAAUACGUAGGGGGCAAGCGUUGUCCGGAAUUAUUGGGCGUAAAGCGCGCGCAGGCGGCUGUUUAAGUCUGGUGUAUAACCUCGGGGCUUAACCCCGGGUCGCACUGGAAACUGGACGGCUUGAGUGCAGAAGAGGAGAGUGGAAUUCCACGUGUAGCGGUGAAAUGCGUAGAGAUGUGGAGGAACACCAGUGGCGAAGGCGACUCUCUGGGCUGUAACUGACGCUGAGGCGCGAAAGCGUGGGGAGCAAAC